ACAGGCGAGGGCGUUCGGCGACGUUACUGGGGCUGCACGGUGCUUGUAGCUGGGCAGUCUUAUCAUCAGAGUGGAGCCUGGUAACCACGACCUCCCCGCCAGGUCCUGUGUGUUGCUAGCUGGAGAAGGGUAGUUGAAAACUCAGACCAAGCACAGUGUUUAUAUCGGUCAAAACUGGAAAACUAUGUCCGGGCGCAGCCGAGGCUGGAGGAUCCCUUCAGGCCAAGAGCAACCUAGCAAUAUGGCGCGACCGGAUCUCUGUAGUCCUACCUCAACCCCCAGCUACUUGAACCCCAAGGUUGAAGGCUCCAGUGAGCUAUGAUCCCACCACAGCAUUGCAGCCUGCCAGACUGAGACAUGAACUUAUGAAUUCAACACAUGAAGACUUACAACUUGAUAAACCAGCUUCAGGAGGCUGGAGUGCAAUGGUGCGAUCUGGGCUCACUGCAACCUCUACCUCCUGGGUUCAAGCGAUUCUCCUGUGUCAGCCUCCUGAAUAGCUGGGAUCACAGGUUCCUGAAAGGGAGAGAGGAAAUCUUCGAUUUUUCAUGGCUGUGAACCACUGCAAGUAUUGAAGAAAUAUUUACUACUUCCAGCCUCAUAAUCCUGCAGUCAUUUGGCACCUCUGAAGCCUUGGGGAGCACUGAAGCCAAGGCUGCACCGUACCAAAAAUUUGAAACAUGUGAAUGAGCUGAAUGUGGAAGGACUACCGGAAAACACUCCUUUCAGAAUCCCCUCAUUGCAUGAAAUCCCAAGGCUCGAAAACAUCUUUCAAUAACUCCAGUUAGCCUCCAUUGUCUCCAAGCCGGCUUUUGUCCUCAUCCACAACGCCUCCACACAAGCUCUGAACACCUGUCCAUUGCUAACUUGAGACUGCCAUGCUGUUAGGAAGUUCAAGUUCACCACAUGGAGAUGAAAUAAGAUAUCAUGAUAAACAUCCCCAGCUGAUCCCAGCCUCCAGUGAUCCAUCAACUACAUAUAUGAUCCUAAGUCACAUGUGUGACCCCGAGCAAGAUCAGCAGAACAAUCACUCAGCCAACCCACAGAACCCUGAAAAAAUAUAAAUCAUUAUAGUUUAAACCACAAGUUUUGGGUAGCUUGUUAUGCUGCUAUUGAUAAUUAAAACAAACUGGAAUAUUUUCAUCUA
Molecule: long non-coding RNA, 1147 nt
Filed under: Homo sapiens (human)
Lineage: Eukaryota; Metazoa; Chordata; Mammalia; Primates; Hominidae
Description: HSALNT0362766
Source: RNAcentral